RNAcentral lists this long non-coding RNA (664 nucleotides) under Citrus x clementina. RNAcentral's name for it is "Citrus clementina (C. clementina) long non-coding RNA (CCLE_LNC000425)". Lineage: Eukaryota; Viridiplantae; Streptophyta; Magnoliopsida; Sapindales; Rutaceae. The record is from RNAcentral.
CCACCUUCUUUGCACAAAUUCUUCGUCCAUCGUCAUUAAAUCCACCGUUUCCACUAACUAUAAAAUAAAAUUAAAAAAAAAGAAAAGAGAGAAGGUCAGAGAAUUGCAGAACCCGGCGCAACUUCACAGCCAACGCAUGCAAUUGCCACCGCUGCCGUUCUUCUUCUUUUUCAUCAAUCUUCUCUACCAUCCGAACACCCAUACAUCCUAGCCAUCAGGCUCUAUGAUCCGCCACUGUAUUCACCGAAACAUGCCUAAAUAGCUGCUAAACCACCCCCAACGUCGCUGCUGAAUUUGCUGCCAUCCUUUGUGAUUUGCCAACCACGCCACUACAAAUCCUUUCAGCGUCAUCAGCACUUUUUUUUCCAACUAAUUCCAGUCAUUAUUUGUCUCCCCAUUCACAGGAAACCGAAACAAACAGCCAAUUGCAAACUUCACUUUAAUUUCUCGAUCAACCCAUCACAAUCCGAAUCAAACCACCACCUCCAUCACACUCGCCACCAUCAAUUCUUCCAAAUUUACCCUUCCUUUCACGUUUUUCCGAUCACCGUUGCCGAUAAACCCAUACUUUACUUCACUACAAACAAAAGUAACUUUUUAUGACCGAGAUUUCACGGCAUAUAAUAUGCCAAUGCCGUUGAAAGGCGGAAAAGAAAGCAUAUUU